RNAcentral lists this long non-coding RNA (218 nucleotides) under Elaeis guineensis (African oil palm). RNAcentral describes it as "long non-coding RNA (EGUI_LNC030626)". Lineage: Eukaryota; Viridiplantae; Streptophyta; Magnoliopsida; Arecales; Arecaceae. The record is from RNAcentral.
CAUAGCAACAACAUUCUGAAGAUCCAAGCUGAGUUUUGAACAGGUUUUUCUUGAAUAUUACUCCUCAUUAAUUGAAACCCCAGGAGUUCAACAUGCAGCAAUUGACUGAAAAAUUCUAUAUCCUGGGAACCCACUAGAUUUACGUCUGUUGACAAUUCCUUUUACAGAAGAUAAGAUCAAGACAACUAUCUUUAGCUUGACAAAAAAAUAAAUCACCA